RNAcentral lists this long non-coding RNA (1245 nucleotides) under Monodelphis domestica (gray short-tailed opossum). RNAcentral describes it as "lncRNA (ENSMODG00000039899.1)". Lineage: Eukaryota; Metazoa; Chordata; Mammalia; Didelphimorphia; Didelphidae. The record is from RNAcentral.
CACCUAGUUCAAACCUUUAAAUUUACAGAUAUAGAAACUGAAAUCUAGUCAGUCUAAGUGACUUGCCCAAGGUCACAGAGGUAGGAAGCAUGAAAGGCAGAAUUGUGUAGUUCAAAGUUCCCCCUUUAAUCAGAGAAAGAUUUCUCUCCUCUAGAUUUCACAAUAUUCAAGUAAAGAAGUUCUUAAAUUCCUCUUGCUAGUGCUUUUCACAAUUUUUAGUGUCAAUUUUUUUUCUCAAUUUUUCACAAUUUCACAAUUUUUACAGUGUCAAAAUUCCCUCUAAAGGGUAAAGACUUCUAAAUACUCUUGUACUUUGAGUAGCAUCUUGCUUUGUUCCUUUCUGGAAAUGUUUUAUAGGCAUUUAUUACCUCCACUCUACAUAAUAUUCUUUCUUACUCUUGAAGACUUGUAUUACAUUUACCUAUCUGCUCGCCUACCCCAAUUGGUGCUAAGUAAGUUACAAGUCUCUUAACCUUUCUUCACAGAUUCUAUUUGUAGUGAUCUGAAGAACACAGAAAGUUCAUGAGGGAACUCAUUCUACAAAGAAUGCAGUAACAGCAACAAUGUAUUAUGAUCAACUGUGAUUGAAUGACUUAACUAUUAUCAACAAGGCAAGGAUCCAGGACAACUCCAAGAGACUCAUGAAAUAAAAAAAAGAUAUCAAGCACCAAAGAAAGAACACAUGGAAUCUGAAUUCAAACCAACACACACCAUUCUGUAUUUCUUCCAUGAUUUUUUCCUCCAUGAAAGCAAUACUUGCCAGUGUGAUGAACAUGGAAAUAAGUGUUAUAUGAUAAUUUUUUCCUCUGAAUGUGGAUAGAGUUCUUUCUCAUAAAUCCCUCUGAGUUGUUCAGGAUCACUGCAUUGUCCAGGGAUAUGUCAGGACACAUUCAGGACCUUAAGGAGGGUUAGUGAUGGUAAAGGAAAUCUACAAAUUCUUGCUCUUUGUUACUGCUGUUAUUUAGGUUUACUUACUCUAUAUACUCAUUUUGAUUUCCCUGUACUUAUUAGAUCUUUGUAAAAACAAUUUCUAUAGCAUUUAUGUCAUUGUAUCCUGUGACUCAAAGUCCAUAUACACUAAAUUUUCCUCAAUGGUGGAGAUCAAUUACUUAAUCUUCCAUGCCCAUGGAUGCAGUUGGUGAGGGAUUGGGAGGAGAGUGUUCCUGUCCUUCUGGCAUCUGACUCAGAGAAUGUACAAUUAGGGCUCUUAUAUUUGCUGGCACCUUUUGUCUUUUGUCUUAUAAC